GUGGGGAAUUUUGGACAAUGGGCGAAAGCCUGAUCCAGCAAUGCCGCGUGUGUGAAGAAGGCCUUCGGGUUGUAAAGCACUUUUGUCCGGAAAGAAAUCCUUUGGGUUAAUACCUCGGAGGGAUGACGGUACCGGAAGAAUAAGGACCGGCUAACUACGUGCCAGCAGCCGCGGUAAUACGUAGGGUCCGAGCGUUAAUCGGAAUUACUGGGCGUAAAGCGUGCGCAGGCGGUUUUGUAAGACAGAUGUGAAAUCCCCGGGCUUAACCUGGGAAUUGCAUUUGUGACUGCAAGGCUAGAGUGUGUCAGAGGGGGGUAGAAUUCCACGUGUAGCAGUGAAAUGCGUAGAGAUGUGGAGGAAUACCGAUGGCGAAGGCAGCCCCCUGGGAUAACACUGACGCUCAUGCACGAAAGCGUGGGGAGCAAACAGGAUUAGAUACCCUGGUAGUCC
This 450-nucleotide ribosomal RNA is filed under the name uncultured bacterium. Its description in RNAcentral is "partial 16S ribosomal RNA". It matches the Rfam family "Bacterial small subunit ribosomal RNA", at positions 354 to 796 of the family's 1533-position model. The record is from RNAcentral.